GAAAUGCGAUAAGUAAUGUGAAUUGCAGAAUUCAGUGAAUCAUCGAAUCUUUGAACGCACAUUGCGCCCGGCAGCAAUCUGCCGGGCAUGCCUGUCCGAGCGUCAUUUCUGCCCUCGAGCGCGGUUCGGCCCCUAGCGGGCCGGCCGCCGCCCGGUGUUGCGGCGCUGCGGGCCCUCGUGCCCGCAGGCCCUGAAAUGAAGUGGCGGUCCCGCCGCGGCGCCCCCUGCGUAGUAGUAAAGCACCUCGCAUCGGGUCCCGGCGGAGGCCAGCCGUCGAACCUCUCUUUUGAUGGUUUGACCUCGGAUCAGGUAGGGUUACCCGCUGAACUUAAGC
Molecule: unclassified non-coding RNA, 334 nt
Filed under: plant metagenome
Description: partial contains 5.8S ribosomal RNA, internal transcribed spacer 2, and large subunit ribosomal RNA
Rfam family: 5.8S ribosomal RNA (bases 1-105)
Source: RNAcentral